Molecule: ribosomal RNA, 253 nt
Filed under: uncultured bacterium
Lineage: Bacteria
Description: partial 16S ribosomal RNA
Rfam family: Bacterial small subunit ribosomal RNA
Source: RNAcentral
UACGGAGGAUCCAAGCGUUAUCCGGAUUUAUUGGGUUUAAAGGGUGCGUAGGCGGAUUGAUAAGUUAGAGGUGAAAUGUCCGAGCUCAACUCGGGAACUGCCUCUAAUACUGUUGAUCUAGAGAGUAGAUGCGGUAGGCGGAAUGUAUGGCGGAGCGGUGAAAUGCUUAGAGAUCAUACAGAACACCGAUUGCGAAGGCAGCGCACCGGCGCCCUACUGACGCUCAGGCACGAAAGCGUGGGUAUCGAACAGG